AGACUGCGAUCAGUAGCCGGACUGAGAGGUUGAACGGCCACAUUGGGACUGAGAUACGGCCCAGACUCCUACGGGAGGCAGCAGUGGGGAAUAUUGGGCGAUGGGCGCAAGCCUGACCCAGCAACGCCGCGUGAAGGAAGAAGGCUUUCGGGUUGUAAACUCCUUUUAUGAGGGACGAAGAAUGUGACGGUACCUCAUGAAUAAGCCACGGCUAACUACGUGCCAGCAGCCGCGGUAAUACGUAGGUGGCGAGCGUUAUCCGGAUUUACUGGGUGUAAAGGGCGCGUAGGCGGGGAAGCAAGUCAGAUGUGAAAUCCAUGGGCUCAACCCAUGAACUGCAUUUGAAACUGUUUCUCUUGAGUGCCGGAGAGGUAGACGGAAUUCCUAGUGUAGCGGUGAAAUGCGUAGAUAUUAGGAGGAACACCAGUGGCGAAGGCGGUCUACUGGACGGUAACUGACGCUGAGGCGCGAAAGCGUGGGGAGCAAACAGGGAUUAAGAAUAACCCUUGUUUAAGUCCAACGGCCUGGUAAACCGGAUUGAAUACUAGGUGUGGGGGGGACCUGGACCCCUUCCGUUGCCUCGCAGUUUAACACAAUAAGUAUUCCACCUGGGGAGUACGACCGCAAGGUUGAAACUCAAAGGAAUUGACGGGGGCCCGCACAAGCAGUGGAUUAUGUGGUUUAAUUCGAAGCAACGCGAAGAACCUUACCAGGGCUUGACAUCCAACUAACGAAGUAGAGAUACAUUAGGUGCCCUUCGGGGAAAGUUGAGACAGGUGGUGCAUGGUUGUCGUCAGCUCGUGUCGUGAGAUGUUGGGUUAAGUCCCGCAACGAGCGCAACCCUUGUUGCUAGUUGCUACGCAAGAGCACUCUAGCGAGACUGCCGUUGACAAAACGGAGGAAGGUGGGGACGACGUCAAAUCAUCAUGCCCCUUAUGUCCUGGGCUACACACGUAAUACAAUGGCGUUUAACAGAGGGAGGCAAAACCGCGAGGUGGAGCAAAUCCCCAAAAAACGUCUCAGUUCGGAUUGCAGGCUGCAACUCGCCUGCAUGAAGUCGGAAUUGCUAGUAAUCGCGGAUCAGCAUGCCGCGGUGAAUACGUUCCCGGGCCUUGUACACACCGCCCGUCACACCAUGAGAGUCGGGAACACCCGAAGUCCGUAGCUAACAGCAAUGAGAGCGCGGCGCGAAGUGGUUCGAUAAUUGGGGGGGUGCUGCG
This 1220-nucleotide ribosomal RNA is filed under the name uncultured bacterium. RNAcentral's name for it is "bacterial SSU rRNA". It matches the Rfam family "Bacterial small subunit ribosomal RNA", at positions 271 to 1490 of the family's 1533-position model. The record is from RNAcentral.